This 387-nucleotide ribosomal RNA is filed under the name uncultured bacterium. RNAcentral describes it as "partial 16S ribosomal RNA". It matches the Rfam family "Bacterial small subunit ribosomal RNA", at positions 338 to 722 of the family's 1533-position model. The record is from RNAcentral.
CCUACGGGAGGCAGCAGUGGGGAAUAUUGGGCAAUGGGCGUAAGCCUGAACCAGCCAAGUCGCGUGAGGGAUGAAGGUUCUAUGGAUCGUAAACCUCUUUUAUAAGGGAGUAAAGUGUGGGACGUGUCCUAUUUUGUAUGUACCUUAUGAAUAAGGAUCGGCUAACUCCGUGCCAGCAGCCGCGGUAAUACGGAGGGUCCGAGCGUUAUCCGGAUUUAUUGGGUUUAAAGGGUGCGUAGGCGGCCGGUGAAGUCAGCGGUGAAAGUGUGUGGCCCAACCGUAGAAUUGCCGGGGAAACUGGGGGGCUGGAGUACGAUAGAGGCAGGUGGAAUGCGUGGUGUAGCGGUGAAAUGCUUAGAUAUCAGGCAGAACCCCGAUUGCGAAGGC